RNAcentral lists this long non-coding RNA (1222 nucleotides) under Capra hircus (goat). RNAcentral describes it as "lncRNA (ENSCHIG00010006708.1)". Lineage: Eukaryota; Metazoa; Chordata; Mammalia; Artiodactyla; Bovidae. The record is from RNAcentral.
CCACCACAGAGCUUUGCUUCAUUUAAUAACUGACUUAUGCAUUCAACUCAUUCAUUUGUUCAACAACAACAACAAAAAAUAGCUGAGUAACUGCUCCAUACUUGUCACUCUGCUAGGAUUUGCAGGUAUUUAAAUUGUUGGAGAGUUUAUACCACUUUAAAAGAAUUGAAUCUAAAAGUGGAUAAAUGGCCACCAGGUGUCACAAACCCUCAGACUGGCAAGAACGUUUAUUUUUUUAUGGCUCACAAAGCUAUGCUCAUCAAUCCUUUGGUGUUGACAGCAAGGUAUCCCACAGUAUCUACCAGGUAGCUGUUGACCUGUAAAUCAUCCACCUUCUCUCCCAGACUUAUUGCCUCUGGGGAGCCCCUGCAUGGCAGCCUCCAGCUUGGAGCUGAAAAUAAUUGCUGAUCUUUAUAAAGGCACAGAGAGGCCUGAGGGAAGGAAUACUGGACCUAGAGAAUAGUGGCAGUGGUACAAAAGGGGCUGACCAGUCUGUAUAGUAACCUUUUUCUAAAAAAUUCAAUUGCAAGCCUUCCCAAGUCUGCACAUCCAGUUCUGUUGGCUUGUUAUCUGCGGCAGCAGAGAUCAGAUAUGAUGACAAAGCUAUGUGAACCCUGGGUGGAGAGACAUUCCCGUGAUGUGCCCUGUGGGACUUUUUCCUUCCAGCUGACAGCAUCGUCUGUUACAAAAAAAAAAAUAAAAAAAUAAAAAAAUUGUGCUUCUAAUCAAGACUGAAGCUGAGAAAUUGUCCUGACAGGGAUGGAAGCUGUAGCAUGCAUGGCCUGUUAGAUUUGCAUUCUUUGUUCAGUGGGACGUAAAGUCACUACCAACAAAUUGAAAUACCAAGGCUAGUCUCUCUGACUUUCCUAAACACAAUCACUCCACCCUCCACAUGCAUGCCUGCAGAUACACACAUCCACAUUACUACUACAGUCAAGUCUUUUUUUCUUUUUAGUUUCAGGUGGAAUCAAUCAAUCAAUUUCUCUCUGUGUAUCUGUCUCUCUCCAAUACUUCCCUGACUCAUGGCUGAUUUUCCUUCCAGAUUUGGUUUGUUUUAAAUUCAGGACAACCUUGAUAAAAUAAAGACACUUUACCACUAAGGAGAUUUGGGGGAAAGAAAAUAAGCCUCUGUCCUUAAAGGAAAUAGCAAAAGUUGAGUCAAAAAAUUUUUUUGAGUGGGCAUUAAUUGCAGAAAUAAGUGAGCGUUUCCCCACAAUGAUUA